Molecule: unclassified non-coding RNA, 254 nt
Filed under: uncultured Hypocreales
Lineage: Eukaryota; Fungi; Ascomycota; Sordariomycetes; Hypocreales
Description: sequence contains 5.8S rRNA gene, ITS2, 28S rRNA gene
Rfam family: 5.8S ribosomal RNA (bases 1-52)
Source: RNAcentral
AACGCACAUUGCGCCCGCCAGUAUUCUGGCGGGCAUGCCUGUUCGAGCGUCAUUUCAACCCUCAAGCCCGGCUUGGUGUUGGUGGCCUGCGGCGCCCUCGCGGCCCGCAGCCGCCCAAAUGCAUUGGCGGACCCGCUGUGGCUUCCCUGCGUAGUAGCUUAAACCUCGCACCGGGCCUAGGCGGCGCCCUGCCGUAAAACCCCCACUCCAUCAAGGUUGACCUCGGAUCAGGUAGGAAUACCCGCUGAACUUAA